RNAcentral lists this ribosomal RNA (264 nucleotides) under uncultured archaeon. RNAcentral describes it as "partial 16S ribosomal RNA". It matches the Rfam family "Archaeal small subunit ribosomal RNA", at positions 719 to 982 of the family's 1478-position model. The record is from RNAcentral.
AGUCACUGACAUUAGAUACCCGGGUAGUCCCAGCCGUAAACUAUGCGCGUUAGGUGUACUGGUGACCACGAGUCACCGGGGUGCCGAAGAGAAAUCGUGAAACGCACCACCUGGGAAGUACGGUCGCAAGGCUGAAACUUAAAGGAAUUGGCGGGGAGCACCACAACAGGUGGAGCCUGCGGUUUAAUUGGAUUCAACGCCGGACAUCUCACCGGAUAAGACAGCUGAAUGAUUGUCAAUCUGAAGGUUUUACAUGACUAGCUG